RNAcentral lists this ribosomal RNA (332 nucleotides) under uncultured bacterium. RNAcentral's name for it is "bacterial SSU rRNA". It matches the Rfam family "Bacterial small subunit ribosomal RNA", at positions 568 to 898 of the family's 1533-position model. The record is from RNAcentral.
CGCGUAGGCGGGAUGGCAAGUCGGUCGUGAAAUCCUUCGGCUCAACCGAAGAACGUCGGCCGAUACUGCCGUUCUUGAGGGAUGCAGAGGAGACUGGAAUUCCCGGUGUAGCGGUGAAAUGUGUAGAGAUCGGGAGGAACACCGGUGGCGAAGGCGGGUCUCUGGACCACAACUGACGCUGAGGCGCGAAAGCUAGGGGAGCAAACAGGAUUAGAUACCCUGGUAGUCCUAGCCUUAAACGAUGAAUGCUUGGUGUGAUCGGUAUCCAAUCCGAUUGUGCCGCAGCUAACGCGAUAAGCAUUCCGCCUGGGGAGUACGGUCGCAAGGCUGAA